This is a long non-coding RNA of Harpia harpyja (harpy eagle), 1206 nucleotides long. RefSeq lists it as uncharacterized. The record is from RefSeq and is a predicted model, not a curated record. The transcript is spliced from 2 exons. NCBI's taxonomy places the organism in Eukaryota, Metazoa, Chordata, Aves, Accipitriformes, Accipitridae.
UCUAAUGAAAACCCGUAUUUCUAAACGUUGCAGCGUCUCCACUAAUUCCCUUGAUUCUCACAACGCUUUUGAUUUCCUUUAUUUAUUACAGGGCUCAGGGGAUAGACCUGUUGCUCACCCAAUCCUACCUAUACCCGAGGUCUUCAGGCAGCUAAGGUAUCGCUAGUAAACUCAGCGCGGAAUGAGCGGGGCUGUCCGAAGGGAUGUCCCGUCUGUAUCCCGCAAGGCGAUGAUGUACCGGGGCCUGAGGAAGCAAUAAAGGAGAUACCCAGCUACAGCAGCCGGCCCGUCUGUGGCAGCGUGGAGCUCCAGGUGCGUUCAUUCACACAGCGUCUGACCAGAUACAGGGUUGAGCCCCUGAGCGCCUAGGCCACGUAAUGUAGUCCUUAGAUAUCCUAAGAGCACAAUUACAAGAUCAAGCCCUGUGACAAGCGCAGCUGGAGAAGAAAUCCCAGUUCCCUCUUUUUAUUUAAAAUUACUCAUGGUUAGGGUAAUCAGGUUGUAAAUGACCCAAGUUCAGUUUCUCUUCUGCCACAAGGGAGUUCAGACGUAUCUCCCAUUUCCCAGGUUAAUAUGCCAAGCAAAUUACUUUUGUGGGCCUAAUUCUAUUCCUUCACAUGAGAGAAUAUUUAAAAGCCUUUGCCCAUUUAAUCCUCAUCUUCCUUGAGAACGUUCCAAAAGCUGUGCGAUGAGUAGGAGUUGCGGUGUCCUCUGUGAUCUGUUUAAAUCCCUCGCCUUGCUCUGCCUUUGUGACUACAAAACCUGCUGACUCGGUGCGAUUUUAAGGGGUGCACUGCCAGUUGGUCCAAACAGCAUUGCAGUGGAUGUGAUGCCAUAUGCUAUGAUGCUCCCUCCUCUCUGCUCUGCAGAGGUGAUGUAGAAAAACAGUCUGCAGGCUGUGUUAUUAAUUCAAUAUUGCAACGCUUUUGGAGCAGCCAUAACCAUGGGUUAUAGUCCCAGGAAUGGCCAUGGUCCUUGAGAUCCAAUUUCAGCCUGGGCAAAACCCAUCUUCUCUAAUUUAAAGAGAACUUCAGUGGGAAUUUGCUUGAUAAUUUCUCAUCUUAGAAUCCCUCCCUCUGGGUUUUACAGCCAUAGGUUACAAUUCAGGGGGUGUGGUUUUAGUAGCAGAAGAACAAGUAUCGCAGGUUUUAUCAUGAGAAAUUCCAAGGUUAUGCAAGACUGUGAAAUAAAACACAGGAAAAAUUA